GCGCCGGUGGUGUAAGGCGAACAUCGCUGCCCGGAAAGCAGAAGAUGGGGGUUCGAGUCCCGCCUGGCGCA
Heligmosomoides polygyrus is the source of this 71-nucleotide non-coding RNA. The record is from Rfam. NCBI's taxonomy places the organism in Eukaryota, Metazoa, Nematoda, Chromadorea, Rhabditida, Heligmosomidae.